RNAcentral lists this ribosomal RNA (642 nucleotides) under uncultured archaeon. RNAcentral describes it as "bacterial SSU rRNA". It matches the Rfam family "Archaeal small subunit ribosomal RNA", at positions 778 to 1448 of the family's 1478-position model. The record is from RNAcentral.
UACCUCUUCGAGAGGUAUUAGUGCUGAAGGGAAGCCGAAGAGUGUGCUACCUGGGAAGUAUAGUCGCAAGGCCGAAACUUAAAGGAAUUGGCGGGGAGACACUACAACGAGUGACGCGUGCGGUUCAAUUAGAUUUUACACCGUGAACCUCACCAGGAGCGACAGCAGAAUGAAGGUCAGUCUGAAGGGCUUACCUGACACGCUGAGAUGAGCUGCAUGGCCGACGUCAGCCUGUGCCGUGAGGUGACCUGUUAAAUCAGGUAACAGGCAAGACCCCCGUGUAUAUUUACUAAGUGUACAAUAUACAGAUUGCCUUGGUAACAAGGAUGAAAGUUGGGGCUACGUUAGGUGAGUACAGCCAGAAUCCCCUGGGCUACACGCGCGCGUCAAUGGUAAAUACAAUGGGAUGCGACUCCGAAAGGAGAAGCUAAUCUCUUAAAGUUUAUCUUAGUUCAGAUCGAGGUUUGUAACUCAGCCUCGUGACGCUGGAAUUCGUAGUAAUCGGGUGUUAUCAACGCCCGGUGAAUAUGUCACUGUCUCUUGCACACACUGCCCGUCAAAUCAACCGAGUUUAGUUAUGGUGAAACUUUUCGAAGGAGAACCUUAGCUAGACAAGGUAGGUUAAGUCGUAACAAGGUAGCC